Molecule: ribosomal RNA, 233 nt
Filed under: Clostridioides difficile
Lineage: Bacteria; Bacillati; Bacillota; Clostridia; Peptostreptococcales; Peptostreptococcaceae
Description: partial 16S ribosomal RNA
Rfam family: Bacterial small subunit ribosomal RNA
Source: RNAcentral
GUAACCUACCCUGUACACACGGAUAACAUACCGAAAGGUAUGCUAAUACGGGAUAACAUACUUGAGAGGCAUCUCUUAAAUAUCAAAGGUGAGCCAGUACAGGAUGGACCCGCGUCUGAUUAGCUAGUUGGUAAGGUAACGGCUUACCAAGGCGACGAACAGUAGCCGACCUGAGAGGGUGAUCGGCCACAUUGGAACUGAGCCACGGUGCAAACUCCUACGGGAUGCAGCAG